RNAcentral lists this transfer RNA (64 nucleotides) under Polydora cf. ciliata DS-2023. RNAcentral's name for it is "tRNA-Ile". The record is from RNAcentral. Lineage: Eukaryota; Metazoa; Annelida; Polychaeta; Spionida; Spionidae.
GAUAGCGCGCCGGUGGACGGAUAUCAUUGAUGAUGAUAAAUACGAGCUUAUAGCUCCGCUAUCU